Molecule: ribosomal RNA, 465 nt
Filed under: uncultured Klebsiella sp.
Lineage: Bacteria; Pseudomonadati; Pseudomonadota; Gammaproteobacteria; Enterobacterales; Enterobacteriaceae
Description: bacterial SSU rRNA
Rfam family: Bacterial small subunit ribosomal RNA
Source: RNAcentral
CCUACGGGUGGCAGCAGUGGGGAAUAUUGCACAAUGGGCGCAAGCCUGAUGCAGCCAUGCCGCGUGUGUGAAGAAGGCCUUCGGGUUGUAAAGCACUUUCAGCGGGGAGGAAGGCGUUAAGGUUAAUAACCUUGUCGAUUGACGUUACCCGCAGAAGAAGCGCCGGCUAACUCCGUGCCAGCAGCCGCGGUAAUACGGAGGGUGCAAGCGUUAAUCGGAAUUACUGGGCGUAAAGCGCACGCAGGCGGUCUGUCAAGUCGGAUGUGAAAUCCCCGGGCUCAACCUGGGAACUGCAUUCGAAACUGGCAGGCUAGAGUCUUGUAGAGGGGGGUAGAAUUCCAGGUGCAGCGGUGAAAUGCGUAGAGAUCUGGAGGAAUACCGGUGGCGAAGGCGGCCCCCUGGACAAAGACUGACGCUCAGGUGCGAAAGCGUGGGGAGCAAACAGGAUUAGAUACCCCAGUAGUC